Molecule: ribosomal RNA, 450 nt
Filed under: uncultured bacterium
Lineage: Bacteria
Description: partial 16S ribosomal RNA
Rfam family: Bacterial small subunit ribosomal RNA
Source: RNAcentral
GUGGGGAAUAUUGGGCAAUGGGCGAAAGCCUGACCCAGCCACGCCGCGUGAGUGAUGAAGGCCUUCGGGUUGUAAAGCUCUGUGGGGAGGGAAGAAAAAGCGGGAGAGUAACUGCUCUCGUGUUGACGGUACCUCCUUAGCAAGCACCGGCUAACUCUGUGCCAGCAGCCGCGGUAAUACAGAGGGUGCAAACGUUGCUCGGAAUUACUGGGCGUAAAGCGCGUGUAGGCUGACAUGCAAGUCGGGUGUGAAAUCCCAGGGCUCAACCUUGGAACUGCACUCGAAACUGCACGUCUUGAGUACUGGAGAGGGAAGCGGAAUUCCGGGUGUAGAGGUGAAAUUCGUAGAUAUCCGGAGGAACACCAGUGGCGAAGGCGGCUUCCUGGACAGUAACUGACGCUGAGACGCGAAAGCGUGGGGAGCAAACAGGAUUAGAAACCCUUGUAGUCC